Molecule: ribosomal RNA, 456 nt
Filed under: uncultured bacterium
Lineage: Bacteria
Description: bacterial SSU rRNA
Rfam family: Bacterial small subunit ribosomal RNA
Source: RNAcentral
AUUGAACGCUGGCGGCAUGCUUUACACAUGCAAGUCGAACGGUAACAGGCCGCAAGGUGCUGACGAGUGGCGAACGGGUGAGUAAUGCAUCGGAACGUGCCCAGUCUGGGGGAUAACGCAGCGAAAGCUGUGCUAAUACCGCAUACGAUCUAUGGAUGAAAGCGGGGGACCGUAAGGCCUCGCGCGAUUGGAGCGGCCGAUGUCAGAUUAGGUAGUUGGUGGGGUAAAGGCCUACCAAGCCAACGAUCUGUAGCUGGUCUGAGAGGACGACCAGCCACACUGGGACUGAGACACGGCCCAGACUCCUACGGGAGGCAGCAGUGGGGAAUUUUGGACAAUGGGCGCAAGCCUGAUGCAGCAACGCCGCGUGAGCGAAGAAGGCCUUUGGGUCGUAAAGCUCUGUCGGGAAGGAAGAUAAUGACGGUACUUCCCGAGGAAGCCCCGGCUAACUACGUG